UCUAGGGUAGCCUAGUGGACAUGGUAUCUGCCCGGUAAGCAGAACGUUGUGGGUUCGAUUCCCGCCCCUGGAC
Molecule: transfer RNA, 73 nt
Filed under: Cordylochernes scorpioides
Lineage: Eukaryota; Metazoa; Arthropoda; Arachnida; Pseudoscorpiones; Chernetidae
Description: tRNA-Thr
Rfam family: tRNA
About the family: Transfer RNA (tRNA) molecules are approximately 80 nucleotides in length. Their secondary structure includes four short double-helical elements and three loops (D, anti-codon, and T loops).
Source: RNAcentral